UACGCGAGCUGGGUUCAGAACGUCGUGAGACAGUUCGGUCCCUAUCCGUCGUGGGCGUAGGAAAUUUGAGAGGAGCUGUCCUUAGUACGAGAGGACCGGGAUGGACGUAUCAAUGGUGUACCAGUUGUCACGCCAGUGGCAUAGCUGGGUAGCUAAAUACGGAAGGGAUAAGAGCUGAAAGCAUCUAAGCAUGAAGCCCCCCUCGAGAUGAGAUUUCCCACGGAUAUUAAGAC
RNAcentral lists this ribosomal RNA (233 nucleotides) under Streptococcus pneumoniae. RNAcentral's name for it is "partial 23S ribosomal RNA". It matches the Rfam family "Bacterial large subunit ribosomal RNA", at positions 2597 to 2825 of the family's 2925-position model. Lineage: Bacteria; Bacillati; Bacillota; Bacilli; Lactobacillales; Streptococcaceae. The record is from RNAcentral.